This 1883-nucleotide long non-coding RNA is filed under the name Cricetulus griseus (Chinese hamster). RNAcentral describes it as "lncRNA (ENSCGRG00015043108.1)". The record is from RNAcentral. Lineage: Eukaryota; Metazoa; Chordata; Mammalia; Rodentia; Cricetidae.
CUUGGCCAUAAGAAAUCUAUUUAUACUGACUAGCAAAUCCCACAAAUCAGAAAGGCUCAAGGGAAAAAUAUAUAGAAUAGCUGUAUUUAGAAACGAGAAAAUGUCAAGUUUUCAUUAUUUCACCAGCCACAAUAACAUCUGCAUCUUCUCACUCACCAUGCCCAAUUUCAGCUACCACUAUUACUAUUCUUUCAAGCUAUUAACUUUUUUUAUCCCAAGAGAUUUAUUAGUUCAAAUUAGAAACAAGGCUGAUUCACAUGUCAAUCCCUUCUCCCUCUCUUCCCUCCCAAUCAGCCCCCCUCAUCUCCCCUCUGCUCCCCAGGGAGGGUAAGGCCCUCUGUGGGGGUUCCCCAAAGUCUGUCAUAUCCUUGGCAGGGCCUAGGCCUCUCCCAUGUGUCCAGACUGAGAGCAUCCCCCCUUGUGGAAUGGGCUCCCAAAGUCCCUUCUUACGCCAGGUGCCUCCUCAUUGACAUCCACAUUCAGAGGUAGGGAUCAGCCCUGUGCUGGCCUCCCAGACAUCACUCUGGGUCCAUGUGCUCCCCCCAAGCUAUUAAUUUUGAAAAAAAACUAAUUAUGUACAGUGUUCUGUCUGCAUGAAUCCCUGCAGGCCACAAGAGGGCACCAGAUCUCAUUAUAAAUGUGAGCCACCAUGUGAAUGCUGGGAAUUAACUCAAUCUCUGGAGAGCAGUCAGUUGAAUACUCUUAAGCUCUGAGCCAUCUCUCCAGCUAUUACUAUUCUUAAUGUCCAAUUAAUUUAUGUCAUAAUUGGCAUGUUUUACACAAAAUUCCACUUAGUGGAUGCAGAGAUGGCUCAAUCACAGCAGGUACUGAUCCUAUAGAGAAAGAAUUUGUUAAGUGUCAAUGACUCAUCUUCAAGGGAUCUAACACAGCUAUGUAUCCCUGCCCAGGAUAAUACAUAUGCAAACAGAAAUGUACAAUUUCACAUGAUUAAAAAAAAAGAAAAAACAAAGCCUAUAUUUGUAAUAUCACCUACCAGGACUGGAAAGAUGGUUCCUAAGAAUUUGUUCCUCUUGGCAGGUAGUAGCAGCACAUGCCUUUAAUACAAGCACUUGGGAGGCAGAGGCAGGUGAACUUGAGGCUAGCCUGGUCUACAAAGCUAGUUAAUAUCAAGACAGCUAGGGCUCUUACAUAGAGAAGCCUGUUUUGGAAAAAUACAAAUUAUUUGUUGUCAUGUAGAAGACUAAGUACAGUUGCCUGCAGGGAUACGGCAGCUCAUCUACAUCUUAACUCCAGACUGAAUAUCCUUUUCUGUACUGGACACAAGGCACAGAGUGCACAUAACUACAUAAAAUCAAAUACCCAGGCACAUAUAACUAAUCUUUCAAAUGUUAAGCCCAUUUACACUGAAAAUAACUACCCUUACAGCUUCAUCAUUAUUACCUAAUGGUAAUUAACAUAGACUGAUGACACAAACUUGAUAGCCUCUACAAUCAGGAACCAACAAACUAAAGCUAAAACAAGAUCCAACACCUUUGGGAAUGCAAGAACUUUAUUCAAAGUGCAAUGAAACUUGUUAACAACUUAAAAGAUGGGGUAAAUUAAAACACCUCCCCUCAAGCCCAAGAACAAGCACAAGGUGUGCUCUUUCUAGACAGUGUAGUGAGAAAGGUGCGUCCAUCUUCCUGUUUGCUUUUCUUGAUGGUGUUACUGGGCUCAACCUCCAGGGUGAUGGUCUUGCCUGUCAGGGUCUUCACAAAGAUCUGCAUCCCACCCCUGAGGCGGAGGACCAGGUGCAGGGUAGACUCCUUCUGGAUGUUGUAGUCGGACAGGGUGCAGGGUGGACUCCUUCUGGAUGUUGUAGUCGGACAGGGUGCGGCCAUCUUCCAGCUGCUUGCCGGCAAAGAUCAACCUCUGCUGGUCAG